Molecule: RNA transcript, 4730 nt
Organism: Dendrobium catenatum
Lineage: Eukaryota; Viridiplantae; Streptophyta; Magnoliopsida; Asparagales; Orchidaceae
Exons: 3
Source: RefSeq, a predicted model, not a curated record
UUCCUCAUCAUUUCCAAUUUCUUUCCUUUUACAUAUCAAACAAAUAUCACGGGAGGUUCGAGCUAUACGACUGAACCAACAAAAAUAAUUAUUCAUCUUCUCUACUCUGCGUGUUUAUCAAUUUUAUCCUAAUACAAAUAAACAACUUCAUGUGAAAUUGUGAAUGCCGAUAAAUAAAGGAAAUAUCUCUUUUGCUAAUCAUAGAAAAUGACUAUACUUAAAAAUCUGUACGUUUUUUUUUAUUAUUUAUCUUGAUGUCAUUGAACAUGUUUGGAAAAUGUUGGAGGAAUCAAGGCAACCUUAAAUUUUUUUUUUUUGGGACAUUUAGGCCAUUUAAGGCAAACUCACACACACAACGCAUACACAAAGACUCGAGCCCAAGACCUCUUCAUUGGAAGCAUAAGCUCUCAACCAAUAGGUCAAGGUGAGCUGUGUAAGGCAACCUUAAAUGACAAGUAUAAUUUUUGUAAGUAACCGUUUUGGAGAUAGCAAGCUAUUUUCUUCACAUGAUUGCAAGACAUUAAAAAAUGAACUAUAUCAAAGUUCAUAGUUUCCUUAGAUAUUUAGGCUUUGUUUGAGACAUCUUUUUUAUUAUUUUUAAAGCAAUUUUUUAAUUAAUUUUUAUUUUUAAAGAAAUUUUUGGACUAAAAAGCUUAUUUAGAAAGUAAUAAGGAAGUUGUCCCAAACGAAGCCUUAAUUUUGUAAACAAAUCUUAUUAUUUAGAAACAUAUUUUAUGUUUAUGUGGCUAUAAUUUUGAGAGUGAAGUUCUUUUUGUUGAAAAUCCUAAGCCUUCACCCUACUUUUCUCUAGCCAUAGAUGUUUGAUUUGUACUCAAGUUUUUUAUUUUUUAUUUUUUAUUUUUAUUUCUAAUUAUUAAAUAUUGAUGAUAGCUAAAUUUUUUUAUAAUACAUUUUUUAUAAAGAGGCAAUUUUAAUUAAUGCUCAUUUGUUUUAUUUAUGAGAUAUUUUUUUUUAUGAGAAUAAAUAACUUACAAGUUCGACAAGAUUUGGUUUAAAUUGGAGUAAAGCGUGAAUUGUAUCCUCAUGUUCUUUCGAAUGGUAGUUAUAUUUUACCACCAACUAUAUUUACCAUGUCUAAGAAGGAUAAGAUAAUAUUUUGUGAAGUUCUCAAGAAUAUGAAGUUACCCAAGGGUUAUUCAUCAAACAUUUCUAAGGGUGUUAACAUUAAAGAGUGCAAAAUAAUAUGUCUAAAAAGCCACAAUCCUCAUGUACUAAUUGAGGAUAUUAUGCCUAUUGCAUUAAAAUCAUGAGCACCAUCAAACAAAGUUUUCACCAUCAUUGUUGGGAUUUUAUAUUUCUUGAAAUUCAUAUGCACAAAGGUCAUAAAUCCAAUUGAACUUGACAAGAAACUGAAGGAAAUUGUAUUGACUUUAUGUAAUAUGGAGAAGUACUUUCUCCCAUCAUUCUUCACUAUCAUGGUCCACUUGCUCAUUCAUUUGGUUGAAGAAGUGAGACUUGGCGGGCCUGUACAUUAUAGGUGGAUGUACCCUUUUGAGAGGUAAUAUAUUUUUUCUAUUGCUUAAAUGUUUUAUUAUUUAGUGGGGGUAUAUCACCUACAUAUUCAUACUUUAUAUAUUUUUCUUAGUAUUAAAGGAUUUUGUUGGAAAUAAUUCACAACCUGAAGGGUUAAUUACUGAGCGAUACAUCACUAAAGAGGGAAUUUCAUUUUGCUGAAAAUGUCUGGAUGGUGCGCCGACUUUGUCCGAGUCCAUUUCUACUAGAAUUUCAUCUAAGGAUGAUGGUGUUUCCAAGUUCUUGGUUGCCGGUAAACCUUUGGGUCAAGUGUCUAUGUUUUUGUUAGAUGACAUAUUAUUGAUUCAAAGUCAUAGAUAGGUGCUCCGACAUUGUGAUCAUUUAACAAAGUAUACUUAUCUGUACAAGGAGGAAGAGAGACCAAAAAGAGCCAACAACUUUCCUCUAACGCCAUUAGCUCUUAAUAAACUUGUUAAUGAACAUUUUCAUGAUUGGUUCAAAUGAACAGGAAGAUAUGAAAACAUCUCUUCAGUCAAUUUCAAUAUCAUAUGCCUAAAUUGAUUAAUAAUUUUUUUUUAGAUUACAUGUACAGAUGAGUCAAUUGUUUUAGAAGAAGUUAGAUCCCUCGCGGUUGGUCCUAAGCAAAUCACACGAAGAUUUAAAGGAUUUUAUAUUAAUGGGUAUGAAUUUCAUACUAAAACUUGCGAUGAGAACAAGAAAACACAAAAUUAUGGUGUUGUUAACAAAAUUGAAGUCGGAAAUUUUUUUUAUUAUGGUUGACUGAAUGAUUUUAUUGAGCUUGAUUACUCCGACUUAUUUCACGUGGUUUUGUUCAAGUAUGAUUUGGCUAAUACAACUUCAGUUGGCAUUAAAAUAGAUCAUUAUGGAAAUACAUUGGUUAACUUUUCAUGAUUAAUACACACAGAUGAUAGAUGGGCAGAUAAUCCUUUUGUUUUUUCAUCACAAGUUGAGCCUAUUCUGUUCAUUGAAGAUCCAAAGAAUAAAAAUUUAAACUUUGUCUUACCAGUAAAGGCUAGAGAUGUUUUUGAUUCAAGCCUUUCUCGACAUAACAAUUAUAUAUGAAUUUAUGCAAAGGUAAUAACGUAACAUUUAAAUUUACAUUUAAUUUCAUAUCUGUUGUGUUUAACAGAAAGUAAGCAUGAAUUUAUGUAUCGUAUUCUGUUCAACCUUUAAUAUCGUAUUCUAUUCAACUGUACUGUUUUGAGCACUCAUUUAUUUAUUAUACAGUUUUGUAGACUUAUGGACGUAGAUAAAAUAUAGCUAUUUGAUUGCUUUUGCAUUGUGAGGCCAUGCAGCAGUUAUAUGAUGUUUAGCUCUUUCGGACAAUCUAUGCACUUGAGACUCAUUUUUGAUAGAAUUACAGUAUCAUGAAUCUCGAGAUUUAUUUUUUAUUGUUUGUAUAACUGGAAGGCUACCUAGACCCUUACUCUAGAAUGGACCUUAAUAAGAAUAAAGUCCAAAACAUCUAAAUUUGCUUCUUCCAUCUGUUUAUUUCUUUUAUUGUUUUGAAUUCAUAAAUUUUUAUUGCUUGAUGUCUGUAGUUUCUCAAUAUACUUUUGUAAAUUAUUUUAUUGUUUUCAAUUCAUAAACUUUUAUUGCUUGUUGGCUGGGAGAGUCGCUCGUUGAACCAUGUGUUUUGCUUGCAGUAGUCCACAGCAUCGAUGGUAUGGUGAGUACCUGUACUAUUCCCAUCUGGUUUUAUAACGUUUACAUCAAAAAUUGUAUACCUGAAAUGAACAUCUUCAUGGCUCCACCUGCCUGUGACUUGCACAUUUAAUUAAACUCCAGCAAACUACAAGUAUCUUUUUCUUUCAGUUAAUAUGAGAAGUACAGAUUCUAUACCCGAAAAUAGCUAGUUUGAUUAUUCUGUCCCAUAUCAUGAUAUUUUAAUAAUUAUCUUGGUUUUUGUUUGUACUAAUAGGAAUGACAAGAAGUGGUUCAUUCUGACGUGUUAAAAAGGUUAUAUGUCGAGGAUAUUCCAGUGUAAAGUAGACUAGUUGAACUUAUAAUAAUACAUCGACUCUGGUGCAUCCAGAUUAGUCCAAUGCUGGUGACUUCAAUAAUAACGAAUAGUCUGCUAGUUUGUCAUCUCAAGAAAUAAGACGGCAUGUGUCACCUGCGGAUGAUGAAAUUUGGCUCAUAUGUUUUUGUUCACUUAAAUAUAUUUUUAUUUAUGUCAAUUUUAAUAAUUUAAUAAUAUAAUUCCCUCUUACAUUUUUAUUUUUUUCAGAUAAUGAGGGUGCUCCGAUAAAAAAGAGAGGUCAAACUACUUGUGCAGACAUACAUAGCAUGCCACCAGGUAUUUCUCUCGUCAGCUUUUUAUAAAGAUCGGAGAAUGCAGUGAUUGUGCGUUAAACGUAUAAAAAGAUGGAUCGUGGAAGAGGCAUGGGCUUCAACCUGUUGUGCUGUCAAAUUUUCCUACAAAGUUUGUUGAGAUGUUUGCAUAUAUUUUUUUUUUUCUAAAUCAACACGCUUUGAGAUUGUCUUACAGAAUGCAUUAUCAUCAAUUUGAGGAUGCUAUUUUUAUACAAAUUGUUGAUUCUAAAGUCACAAUCACCGAUUUUUGGUGUAGUGUUUAGGUGUAUUGUUUUGUGAGAAUCACCAUCUGAAAGGAGUUUUGGUGUAUUGUUUUGUCUGAAUCACUAAUUAUAUGCCUUAUUUUGAUCAACUGCUCCCAGUUCUACAGAUUGUUAACGAUUUAUUUUUAGGCUUCGUUCUCUAAAUGUCCGAUUCUACAGAUUUAUUUUUAGAUUUCGUUUUUUGAAUGUCUCGGGAGAAAUAAAACUGAAGUGCUAAGCUACAAUCGGACACUGCAAUAAUAGCCACACAAAAAUACAACAAAUAAAAUAGAGUACGCACGGAAUGAAGAGCUCACUUUAUUAUUGUUAUAUAAUAAAGUGGUAUGUAUGUAAAUCCCCCAACAUACUAACAACACUUUUAUUUUUUGCACCUCUAACAAUAACUUGAUGAUCAUCCUUAUGUCGAUUCCAAACAGUUUAUCCCGUAAAGAAUUUAAUUGUGAUAAUGUGUUCCUUGACAUAAGUAUUUGUUGAUGCAUGAUUUGCAUGGGCAUAAUAUAUUUCCUGAUAGCUAGAUUCUUACUAUGAAUUGCAAAAUCUAAAAAAACUUGAACUCCUUUGUUGUAUUCACGACUCAAUAUUGACUUGGUUAUCCAACUCUUAUUUAUUUUAGAAUUCAACUGCAGCUUUUCAUAA